RNAcentral lists this ribosomal RNA (486 nucleotides) under uncultured bacterium. Its description in RNAcentral is "partial 16S ribosomal RNA". It matches the Rfam family "Bacterial small subunit ribosomal RNA", at positions 30 to 507 of the family's 1533-position model. The record is from RNAcentral.
AUUGAACGCUGGCGGCAUGCCUUACACAUGCAAGUCGAACGGCAGCACGGGUGCUUGCACCUGGUGGCGAGUGGCGAACGGGUGAGUAAUACAUCGGAACAUGUCCUGUAGUGGGGGAUAGCCCGGCGAAAGCCGGAUUAAUACCGCAUACGAUCUACGGAUGAAAGCGGGGGACCUUCGGGCCUCGCGCUAUAGGGUUGGCCGAUGGCUGAUUAGCUAGUUGGUGGGGUAAAGGCCUACCAAGGCGACGAUCAGUAGCUGGUCUGAGAGGACGACCAGCCACACUGGGACUGAGACACGGCCCAGACUCCUACGGGAGGCAGCAGUGGGGAAUUUUGGACAAUGGGCGAAAGCCUGAUCCAGCAAUGCCGCGUGUGUGAAGAAGGCCUUCGGGUUGUAAAGCACUUUUGUCCGGAAAGAAAUCCUUGGCACUAAUACGGUCGGGGGAUGACGGUACCGGAAGAAUAAGCACCGGCUAACUACGUG